This 425-nucleotide ribosomal RNA is filed under the name uncultured bacterium. RNAcentral's name for it is "partial 16S ribosomal RNA". It matches the Rfam family "Bacterial small subunit ribosomal RNA", at positions 354 to 796 of the family's 1533-position model. The record is from RNAcentral.
GUGGGGAAUCUUGCGCAAUGGGCGAAAGCCUGACGCAGCCAUGCCGCGUGAAUGAUGAAGGUCUUAGGAUUGUAAAAUUCUUUCACCGGGGACGAUAAUGACGGUACCCGGAGAAGAAGCUCCGGCUAACUUCGUGCCAGCAGCCGCGGUAAUACGAAGGGGGCUAGCGUUGCUCGGAAUUACUGGGCGUAAAGGGCGCGUAGGCGGACAGCUUAGUCAGAGGUGAAAGCCCAGGGCUCAACCUUGGAAUUGCCUUUGAUACUGGCUGUCUUGAGUUUGGGAGAGGUGAGUGGAACUCCGAGUGUAGAGGUGAAAUUCGUAGAUAUUCGGAAGAACACCAGUGGCGAAGGCGACUCACUGGCCCAAUACUGACGCUGAGGCGCGAAAGCGUGGGGAGCAAAAGGGAUUAGAAACCCUGGUAGUCC